Molecule: non-coding RNA, 32 nt
Filed under: Rattus norvegicus (Norway rat)
Lineage: Eukaryota; Metazoa; Chordata; Mammalia; Rodentia; Muridae
Source: RNAcentral
CACAGGCACACAUCUAUCAAAGAUCCUACUGU